RNAcentral lists this long non-coding RNA (35620 nucleotides) under Triticum aestivum (bread wheat). Its description in RNAcentral is "long non-coding RNA (TAES_LNC018729)". The record is from RNAcentral. Lineage: Eukaryota; Viridiplantae; Streptophyta; Magnoliopsida; Poales; Poaceae.
UUUUUUUGAUUUUUUGUUAAAUUUGGUCAAACUGUGGUCAAACUUCUUAUUCUAGAACUACUAGUGUUACUAAAUAAUUAUUCAAGAAUAUUAGUGUUACUAAAUAAUUAUUUUAGUUUUUUUGAAUUUUGGUCAAAUCUGGUCAAACUGUGGUCAAACAACGGUCAAACUACUUAUUCAAGAAAUAUUAGUGUUACUAAAUAAUUAUUGUUUUUUAGUUAGUUUCAAACUCAAACAGUGAAAUGUGUGACUUCAUGCUCAAGCUAAACUCCUGAGGGUUAAUAGGAUUGACAUCUUUCUAUUGUCAGGAAAACAACAAGUGCAGACUUGGAAACGAGGGGGAAUAGAACCCGGAAGUUAAGCGUGCUCAGGCUGGAGUAGUGAGAGGAUGGGUGACCGGCCGGAAAGUUAGAUGAUUUGGAAUGAUNNNNNNNNNNGAUAAAAACUUCAAAAAUAGAAUCCUUCCAGAUGUAGUUAUAUUACUAAAUCUACUAGUUAGGAAAAUUAAAAAACUUAAAUUUGGACAUGUUUUGCAAAAAAGUGUUAUGAAAAAGUAAAACGGCUAUAACUAUUGCAUAUGAUGUUGGAAAAAAAUGUAUAAUAUAUUAAAAUGUUCAGCACGAAAAUCCGCAUCCGAUUUUGACCGUCGUAGGCCGUUUUGCAAAUUUUACAAUCCUCAAAUUCUAGAAGAAAAAAGUUAUGAUCAAAUUUCAGUUUUUUUGAUUUUUGUUAAAUUUGGUCAAACUGUGGUCAAACUUCUUAUUCUAGAACUACUAGUGUUACUAAAUAAUUAUUCAAGAAUAUUAGUGUUACUAAAUAAUUAUUUUAGUUUUUUUGAAUUUUGGUCAAAUCUGGUCAAACUGUGGUCAAACAACGGUCAAACUACUUAUUCAAGAAAUAUUAGUGUUACUAAAUAAUUAUUGUUUUUUAGUUAGUUUCAAACUCAAACAGUGAAAUGUGUGACUUCAUGCUCAAGCUAAACUCCUGAGGGUUAAUAGGAUUGACAUCUUUCUAUUGUUAGGAAAACAACAAGUGCAGACUUGGAAACGAGGGGGAAUAGAACCCGGAAGUUAAGCGUGCUCAGGCUGGAGUAGUGAGAGGAUGGGUGACCGGCCGGAAAGUUAGAUGAUUUGGAAUGAUGAGGGGUGAUUAGAUAAUAAAUUGUAAAAUAAUUUAGAAAUUUGAAAAAAAUUAAAAAAUUAAAAAAAUUAAAAAAAUCGUAAAAUUUCCUUUAGUCCCGGUUGGUAAGACAGUGGCCACGUGGAGGGCCUUUAGUCCUGGUUCGAUAGAACCGGGACUAAAGGGGGGAGCCUUUAGUACCGACCCUUUAGUCCUGGUUCAGAACUCGGACUAAAGGCCCUCUGGAACUGGGACAAAUGUGUCUUUUUCUACUAGUGCCAAAGGUACAUAAUUUUACAUGAAAACUAGCAACUGAAUCACCUGAGUUUCAAAAUAAUUGAUUUUGACAUAUCCCCGGUCUUACCCCUAUUUGCAGUUGUUUGUGGAGCUGACGACGAAACAUGCUUCCAUGUUGCUCACCGAUGUACGUUUGCGAUGACCCUAUGGCAUGAGUUGAAGGAAGUGUGGAUCCUCCCUCCCAAGCAUGAAAUAACCUACACAGGAAGGGAUUGCGUUCUAGUCCUUCUAGAUAGAGUAAGUGAAGAUCUAAGACAAAAGUCUAUGCUAUUUUGGUGGCGUGUUUGGCAUCAUAGGAGUGAUGUGAUCUUCGCGGAAGUUAAAGCAAAUUUUUUGCAUUUUUCACGGCUUUUACCAAACUACCUUAUAAACCUCCACAUGAUUGUAGACGAAAAUUUCCAGAUCAAUCAUAAAGGAAAAAAGCCCUAUGAUUAAGGUACCAAAUUUGAAACUAAUGGUGAUACGGAGGAAAAAAGGUUGGCUAAAGCAUGAACUCAGAUGGGCCUAGGACAAUGUUGAUGGAUGUUUCAUGGAGGAGAGUAGCAGUGGAUCGUGAGACAAUGUGCUUUGGAGAUGACCCAUCUGCCUAGCAGGACUACUAAAAGCGUUGGAGAUGACCCAUCUGCCUUUAGUGAUUCAGAUGGACAACACGAUGGUAGACACAUGAUCUCUCCUCUUCUCAUAGAUCAAAAAAUGGAGUACUUGAGAGGGAACUUCGAGCCAUCAAGCAGGCAAGGAAAUAGAGAAGUUAAAACUUGCAAAGUAGAUAGAAUGGACAAUAGUUUAGCCAUAGUCUUGCCCAGUUUGGGUGUAGAUAGUUGCAUGGUGGUGUUAUGCAAGGGACAGUGGCAGCCUGCGUGUUGAGCGUGGACUUGGGCGAUUGUCAAAAUAUUUUUACCUCAGUUAAUUAAUACAACUCUCUAUUUAAUAAAAAGCGCAAACUUCAGCAUGGCAAAGGAAGAUCUGAACUACUAUAAGUCCUGAACUUGAGCAUGAUUUGUUUAAAUAAUAAAUUAUUCGAGAUUUUUCUUUUUCAUGAAGAAAUAACCAACUCUAUCAAAGUUCCAAAUGUAUGGACAAAGUUUAUUUGUUUCUUGGUAAUAAUCAUGGCAUGUGCGCAUCAUCCGAUGUAAUCAUAGAACAAAGUUCCUCACCUUCCCAAUUGGGAUGACGAUUUAACACCAAAGGAAUAAGUAAUAGCACACAUAGCUUUCACAUCAUACAGAAGUGCUGAUCCCAUUGUUUGUAUCGCCAAACUAAAUAUUCCAGCAAUUGAUACACUAUAAAAAGUUGAGGAACAGAACCAAUCUAGAACAUGUAAAAUCAGAUCUACAGAGCAUGAGCGACGUUUUGGGGAGAGGAACAAAACGGAUCUAGAACAUGGAAAAUCUAGAACCAAAAUUCAAGAAACACCCAUCUCUUUUUUUUUAGAAACAUGAACAAGCCAAGCCUGUUGACCCCUCUCUCCUUGUCAUAGGCUGUUGCAUGUCGCUCGUGCCAUAGGAGUUUUAAAUAAUCAUAUAUAUAUAUAUAUAUAUAUAUAUACCUAAUAUUAAAAGACGGAAGAUUUCAUGGUUCUCCAUACGUUAAUUACGUGUUUUACUCCGCAAUCAUCGGCCUAGGCCACACAUGUCGCUGAUUGGACCUUGGCUCACGCUGGCUCCUCGGCAAGCCUAGCUCGGCCACGCACGAAACAACCAGAAACGAACCUGUCUCAAAGAAAAAACCGAAACAAACCUGCACGCACACAAACCAUUAGGGCUGACUCAUAAAAAAACCACCUCACAUACGUGUCGCCGCCUAAUUCUAAAAUUCCAUCUCCUUGAUCCCCCGUCCUACGACCCUACGGGAGGCACCGCCGCAGGCAGGGGGCCCAACGGCCGCCACGAGGCUCCCCGGUCGACAUAGCCGUCCGUCCGUGCUCCGAGCCUGACGAUUCUCUGGCUUAUCACCGUUCUUUCGUGCCGCCCCCAGCGUUGCUCGCCGCCAGCCCAGAUCGGCGAAGUACGCAUCGCCCCACCAUGCCCCUCAUCAGAUCCCCGUCCUCCCGAUCACGCCAUGCCGUCGCAGGUCCUAUGCGUCAUCAGCCCAUGAUGCCGCCCCAAGCUCUAUGAACUAUUUGCCGAGGGAGUGCUUGGCCUGCACUGACAAGCUCAGCCAGAACGUCAUCGAGUCUGAUGUCGGACUCGACGUUAACCAUGGUCACUCACCCCAUAAGGUUUCUUUCUCCUCCUCCAUUAAAGGUUGUGCUACGCCCGAAGAAGAAGCAUGAUGCACUUAAUUGAUUCACCCAUUUGUGUUACCUUGCAAUGGUGCCUCUUCUCCCUCGCCUGCUCUGACAGUGGUGUUUUGGGCGUCCUUGACCAUGGCAGAAAGUCUCAAAGAAGGACGCCCGCAAGCACAAGGCGCUUCUGCCACAAGGGUCCAUGUUGCACGUGUAGCACGACACCCAUGGGAAGAAGACCAGUCCCUUUCUCUGGGAAAUAAUCUGAUAGUUUGCUCCUUUAAGUAUUGAGCGUGAGUUCAUUAACAACAACAAGAAGGGAGUGAGUAGAUGUGAGAGGAGCCGAGGAUGAUAAUUCAGGAAGAGGACCUGGUAUACCAUGUGAAACAUUACGACAAGAGGUGGCUUGCGAGAGAGAAAAAACAAAGAGACGGGGACAUCUAGCAAUCAACAGCGUGGCAAGGACGAGUACGACGGUGUCACCAGACAUGAACAGUGGCAAACAAGUCCAUGUAAUUAGUCACGUAUUCAUUAAUAUUUAGGCUUGCUAUAUAAAGCUACCAUGUCUCUAUGUAAGUUAAUUUUCAGUCCAUUGGUGUUUCCCUCAUUAUCAUCUUGCAGACUUUGUAUCUAUCAGUACAUGAAUUCAGUUUCUACAAUUUGUUUCAUCGAAACUACCGAUCGACUUCAUAGGGCGAAAGUUACGUGAUACUAAAGAGCCUAGCAAUGGUGGAAGGGUGAGAGUGCGUAUAAUCCAUGGACUCAACAUUAGUCAUAAAAAACUCACAUACUUAUUGCAAAAAUUUAUUAGUUAUCGAAACAAAGUAUUACGUGCAUGCUCCUAGGGGGAUAGAUUGGUAGGAAAAGACCAUCGCUCGUCCCCGACCACCACUCAUAAGGAAGACAAUCAAUAAAUAAAUCAUGCUCCGAUUUAAUCACAUAACGGUUCACCAUAUGUGCAUGCUAUAGGAAUCAUAAAUUUCAACACAAGUAUUUCUCAAAUUCACAAGUACUCAACUAGCAUGACUCUUAUAUCACCAUCUCCAUAUCUCAAAACAAUUAUUAAGUAUCAAACUUCUCAUAGUAUUCAAUGCACUUCUAUGAAAGUUUUUAUAUUAUAGAAAAUUUCCAUGUUGAUCUAAAGGACUCCCAAAAUAAUAUAAGUGAAGCAUGAUAUAUCAAUUAUUUCUAUAAAACAAAUCCACCACCGUGCUCUAAAAGAUAUAAGUGAAGAACUAGAGCAAAAACUAUAUAGCUCAAAAGAUAUAAGUGAAGCACAUAGAGUGUUCUAACAAAUUUCAAAUCAUGUGAGUCUCUCUCAAAAGGUGUGUAUAGAAAGGAUGAUUUUGGUAAACUAAAAAAAAGACUCAAAUUAUACAAGACGCUCCAAGCAAUACACAUAUAAUGUGGUGAAUAAAAAUAUAGCUCCAAGUAAAUUACCGAUAGACGAAGACGAAAGAGGGGAUGCCUUCCGGGGCAUCCCCAAGCUUAGGAUUUUUGGUGCCCUUGAAUUUUACCUUGGGGUGCCAUGGGCAUCCCCAAGUUUUGGCUCUUGCCACUCCGUGUUCCAUAAUCCAUCAAGACUUUUACCCAAAACUUGAAAACUUCACAACACAAAACUCAAAAUAGAAAAUCUUGUGAGCUCCGUUAGCGAAAGAAAAGAAAACACCACUUCAAGGUACUGUAAUGAACUCAUUAUUUAUUUAUAUUGGUGUCAAAACUACUGUAUUCAAAUUUCUCUAUGGUUUAUAAAAUCUUUUAUUAGCCAUAGAUUCAUCAAAAUAAGCAAACAACACAAGGAAAACAGAAUCUGUCAAAAACAGAACAGUCUGUAGUAAUCUGUAGCUAACGUAACUUCUGGAACCCUAAAAAUUCUAAAAUAAGUUUCUGGACGUGCGGAAUUUAUCUAUUAAUCAUCUUCAAAAAGAAUUAACUAAAUAUAACUUUCCAAAUAAAAAUGGCAGCAAUUCUCGUGAGCGCUAAAGUUUCUGUUUUUUACAGCAAGAUUAAAAAGACUUUCCCCAAGUCUUCCCAACAGUUCUACUUGGCACAAAAACUAAUUAAACACAAAAAAGACAACCAAAACAGAGGAUAGAUAAAUUAUUUAUUACUAAACAGGAGCAAAAAUAAAGGAAUAAAAAUAAAAUUGGGUUGCCUCCCAACAAGCGCUAUCGUUUAACGCCCCUAGCUAGGCAUAAAAGCGAUGAUAGAUCUAGGUAUUGCCAUCUUUGGUAGGCAAUCCAUAAGUGGAUCUCAUAAUAGAUUCAUAUGGUAAUUUAACUUUAUUUAUAGGUAAGUGUUCCAUGCCUUUCUUUAAUGGAAAUUAGAAUUUGAUAUUCCCUUCCUUCAUAUCAAUAAUUGCACCAAUCGUUCUAAGGAAAGGUCUACCAAGAAUAAGAGGACAUGAAGGAUUGCAAUCUAUAUCAAGAACAAUGAAAUCUAUGGGUACGUAAGUCCUAUUUGCAACAAUAAGAACAUCAUUAAUUCUUCCCAUAGGUUUCUUAAUAGUGGAAUCCGCAAGGUGCAAGUUUAAAGAACAAUCAUCAAAAUCACGGAAACCUAGCAAAUCACAUAAAGUUUUCGGAAUCGUGGAAACACUAGCACCCAAAUCACACAAAGCAUAGCACUAAUUAUCUUUAAUUUUAAUUUUUAUUGUAGGUUCCCACUCAUCAUAAAAUUUUCUAUGGAUAGAAACUUCCAACUCAAGUUUUUCUUCAUAAGAUUGCAUCAAAGCAUCAACGAUAUGUUUAGUAAAAUAGUGGGUUCAUUGCUAUUUAAAGUUUUGACCUCUUCAAUCCCACUUUUAUCAAUUUUUGCAUCAAGAUCUAAAAACUCUGAAUUUUUGGAAUGCCUUCUAGGUAAAGGUGGCUCAUCUUCAGUCCCAUCAUUAUCAAGAUUCAUAUUGCAAAAAAAGAUUUAAUAUGGGACACAUCAAUCACUUUUAUAUCUUCAUCCUUAUUAUCAUGAAAACUAGAAGAACACGCUUUCACAAAGCAAUCUUUCUUAGCACGCAUCCUAGCGGUUCUUUCUUUGCACUCAUCAAUGGAAAUUCUCAUGGCUUUGAGAGAAUCAUUGAUAUCAUGCUUAGGUGGAAUAGAUCUAAGUUUGAAAGAAUCAACAUCAAGAGAAAUUCUAUCAACGUUCCUAGCCAGCUCAUCAAUCUUAAGCAAUUUUCCUUCAAUCAAUGCAUUGAAACUCUUUUGCGAACUAAUAUAUUCUUUAAUAUUAGAUUCAAAAUCAGAGGGCAUCUUAUUAAAAUUUCCAUCAGAAUUGUUGUAGGAAUUACCAUAAUUAUUAGAGUAAUUACUAGGAAACGGCCUAGAAUUAAAAUUACCUAUAUACGCGUUAUUACCAAAAUUGUUCCUACCAACAAAAUUCACAUCCAGAGAUUCAUUAUUAUUCUCAAUCAAAGUAGACAAGGCCAUAUCAUUAGGAUCAGUAGGAGCACUCCUAUUAGCAAACAAUUUCAUAAGUUCAUCCAUCUUUCCACUCAAAACAUUAAUCUCUUCAAUUGCAUGCACUUUUUACUAGUAGAUCUUUCGGUAUGCCAUUGAGAAUAAUUAACCAUAAUAUUAUCUAGGAGUUUAGUAGCUUAUCCUAAAGUGAUUUCCAUAAAAGUGCCUCCCUCGGCUGAAUCUAAAAGAUUUCUAGAAGCAAAAUUCAAUCCGGCAUAAAAAUUUUGUAUAAUCAUCCAAAGAUUCAAACCAUGUGUAGGGCAAUUACGUAUCAUUAAUUUCGUCCUCUCCCAAGAUUGUGCAACAUGUUCAUGAUCAAGUUGCUUAAAAUUCAUAAUAUUAUUUUCUAAGAGAUAUGAUUUUAGUGGGAGGAAAAUUGUCGGUGUCAAAACCGGCGGAUCUCGGGUAGGGGGUCCCGAACUGUGCGUCUAAGGCGGAUGGUAACAGGAGGCAGGGGACAUGAUGUUUACCCAGGUUCGGGCCCUCUUGAUGGAGGUAAUACCCUACGUACUGCUUGAUUGUUCUUGAUAAUAUGAGUGUUACAAGAGUUGAUCUACCACGAGAUCAGAGAGGCUAAACCCUAGAAGCUAGCCUAGGGUAUGAUUGUAUGUUGUCCUACGGACUAAAUCCUCUGGUUUAUAUAGAGACCGGAGAGGGCUAGGGUUACACAAGGUCGGUUACAGAGGAGGAGAUAUAAAUAUCCGUAUUGCCUAGCUUUCCUUCCACGCCAAGUAGAGUUCCAUCCGGACACGGGACGAAGUCUUCAAUCUUGUAUCUUCAUAGUCCAGCAGUCCGGCCAAAGGAUAUAGUUCGGCUGUCCGGAGACCCCCUAAUCCAGGACUCCCUCAGUAGCCCCUAAACCAGGCUUCAAUGACGAUGAGUCCAGCGCGCAGUGUUGUGUUCGGCAUUGCAAGGCAGGUUCCUCCUCCGCAUACAUCAUGGAAGAGUUUUGAAUACAAGGAGAGUGUCCGGCCCUACAAAAUAAGUUCCACAUAGCACCGUAGAGAGAAUAAUAUUUCCACAAAUCUAAUCUGCUGACAUGUUUUGACAGCACGACAUUACGCCAUGGCCAAGUUAUUAUUCGAACCGCUUUUCUCAACUAGCUCUGCACAUAUUGCGAGGCGGUUUUCUUGACACGUCUUGUCAAAGCAGAGAUCGUGUUCCCCUUAUCAUGACAUUCUCAUCAAUACGGACGUGGGUAACCCAACCGCGCCAUUAAUUACGGCACCUAGGGAAUAAGCAGUUUUACCAAGCAAGUGGGGAGACACAUCGCCUCUUCCGCCCUUAUAAAGGGACAAGGAUUUACUUUUCUCACCCACGCCUUCUUCCUCCUCGCUUACCCAUUCGCGCACACUCGAGCUCUAGCGCCCAAGCUCGCGUUCUUCUUCUCAAGCCACUCCAAGCAUGUCUGGAGCAGGAGGCAAGUGGAUGGUCUCCUCCGUCACGGAGGAGAACAUCAAAAAGUUACGGGAAGCCAGAUAUCCGACUACGGAUAUCGUGCACCGGCUGCCAGAUGCGGGGCAGAUCAUCCUACGCCCGAACCCCAUGAGAGGGUAGUUUUUUCUGACCCACUUCGCCCGCGGACUGGGAUUUCCGCUCCACCCGUUCGUUCACGGGCUCAUGUUCUACUAUGGGUUGGAUUUUCAUGAUCUGGCCCCCAAUUUCAUCCUCAACAUCUCAGUGUUUAUCGUCGUGUGCGAGGCCUUCCUCCGCAUCAAGCCCCACUUUGGCCUAUGGCUGAAAACCUUCAAUGUUAAACCUAAGGUAGUGAGUGGCCAGCAAGCAGAGUGCUAAAGCGCCAUGGUGGGGAAGAUGCCUAAUGUCACCUGGCUCGAGGGCACCUAUGUGGAUACCAUAAAGGGGUGGCAAUCGGGGUCGUUCUACAUCACCCAGCCACGCGACUCCAACUGGGUGGCGGCGCCCAAAUUUCGAUCCGGAAUCCCCACGCGGCUCACCUCCUGGAAAGAGAAGGGCGUGUCCUGGGGUUCCUCGGUAGAGCUGACCGGACUCCAGACCUGCAUCCAGAACAUGACGAACAAGAAAAUCAAGCUUGUCAACGUGGUCCAGGUUAUGCUCUUCCGCCGGAUCCUUCCAUGUCAACGACGGGCAUUUGUUUUGUGGGAGUUCGACUCGGCCAAGCACCAGACACUGUGAGAGCUCUAUGACACGACACACGAGGAUGUCUAGAGGGUGCUAUUCAAGAGCGCCGAGAUUCCUCCCCCCUCAACGAGGACCGCGGACUGCGCGCAAAGCGCCGCGCCAAUCCGGUAGGAUUUUUAUAGCUCUCAGGGUAUCUAUUUCCCCCGGUUUAGUUGUGUGCAGGAUCUGAACUUCCAUGUCAUUAACAGGACUGGAUAGACACGGCGGAGCAGCUUGAUAGCCCAGCCCCGCUGCCCGAAGAUCCUGCAGACGCUCUUCUAACGAAGAUGCUGACUUUGGCACCCUAUGAGGUGCCGGAAAAGAAGACCAAGAAGAAGGCCGCGGGGACCCGAAAGGGUCUCCGGCGCAAGGUUGUAUCGUAGUCAUCAAACGAUGACUCCGACGCACACUCCUCCCAUGGAAACGAGGAGGAAGAGGAGAAAAGUUCUCCCCCCCCCCAGCCGGGGGAGACAAGAAAAGGAAGGCCGACCCAUCCGGGGAGGCCGAAGGGUCCAAGAAGGGAAGGACCGUCCCUCCGGACUAUGCCACGAUGGCCGCCGACAGCGGCGACGAGUGGCUACCCAGGGACAAGCCCCUAGCGAAGUCGUAAGUGUCCGGACACCAUAUUACUUCAUGGUAUGUUUUAUUGCACUGCCUCUCCUCAUGCCGAACAUGAUUAUGCAGUCCGUCCCGAGCUCAUCUUGACGUACCCUCGUCGAGCGGCUCUUUGGACUCGUCGGAUAUGAACAACGGUUCUCUUCCGACCGCUUCCACCCCUCGCCCUACAGACAACGCCGCGGUGUUGUCUCAAAAGGCACCGAGCCAAGGGGAGGUGGUCCUGGGGGCGCCUCACGGCGACUUCCCGGACCCUGGGUACCAAGGGAGCGAGGCUCCUACGGGCUUCGAGUUCGAGCCCCAGCCGGACACUGCGCCGGAACCUUCGAUGGUUCCGGAGUCCGGCAGGCGGUCCCCCGUCAAGGGGGGCCAACCAUCCGUGCCGGUGUCCUCUAUCCAACCAGAGGCACCGGACAACCUGCUAGAAGCGCUUUGCAGCGCUUCCAUCGAAGAAGAGCACCGCACUAUCAUGAGUGCGGUGGUCGACAAGGUUCAGUCCGCCAAAAACGGACUGACCGAAGCUUGCGCCAGCCUCCUAACAGGCUUUGAGGUAAGCAAUCAAAAUAUAAGAAAAUAUUACCGCAUAAAUAGUAGCCCCUGAUGCUCUGUUCGGAGUUCGCGAAGAAAAGCCGAAAAAAGGAUCAAAUGAUGACUCAGGAGUCUAAUUAGAGUAUGUCUAUGUGUAUGUGCAGGCUUCACUGCUGGCCACUGCCGCACGUACUGCGGAGGUCUCUGCGCUGAAGCAGGACCUGAAGCGGUCCGAGGACGAGCUCGGCCUUACCAAGAGGCAGCUCGAAGAGAGCAAUGGUAAGAAAUACCCAUGUCUAUAUAGUUAAAAAGAAGUUCAGGUGUAAAGUAAUAGGAUCAUCAUGGAUUUGUCAGGGGCCAUGACCGAGGUGGCGACCCUAAGGAACGCGUUGUUCGAGGCCGAAGACAAAGCGGCCAAAGAACGCAUUGAACGGGAGAAGCAAGAAGCCCAAGUAGGCGAGGUGCAGCAAGAGCUCGAGGCUCUCGCCAAAAAGCACGAGUCCUUGGAGCUCGACUCUAAGACGCGAGAGUCCGAUCUUGCGCAGGCGCUUGAAAGCGUAUGGAGCACCAAGGCCGAAGCCCACAAGGCCCUCCAGGAGAUUGAUGCGGUGAAUAAGAUAGCAACGGGUAGGGCAUUCAUUAUGCAAAGCAAGCACGUGAAGGAGACUUUCCUUUUUCUUACCCGAGUUCGGAGCUCUCCAGAAGCGUUUGCAGAUCUUCCCCGUAGUGUACUGGGUGCUGCGGAGUUUUACCGGGCUGAGGAGGGGAGCUCGACGGAGAUGUUGUUCUGGUCUCAGUAUACUGGGACCGAGCACCCCGUGCCUUUGAGAGACAUGCUGAAGCAGUUGGUCGAGCUUCACAAGGCGGCCGAACAGGCCAUGAGGGGCCUUAUAGUCCGGAUGUGGCCUGGCGAGCCCCUGUCCGGCAGCUACUUCGGUCUGGUGAGGCGGCUUGUGGAAGCCUGCCCACGGCUUGAAGUCAUCGAGUGGUCCGUCUGUAUCAAGGGUGCACGUAGGGCUUUUGCCUGGGCGAAGGUGCACUGGGCGAAGCUGGACGCCGUGAAGCUGGUGAAGGAGGGGCCGCCGGAGGGCAAGGAGCAUCGCUGCCCCGAGAAUUAUUAUGAGAGUGUCCUGAAUGGUUCUCGUCUAAUGGCAGAUGAGUGUGCCAAGGAUGUAAUUUUUGAAUGAACAUGCUCAUGUGAUCAUGUAAUAUGAAACGAGUUCAUUUGUGCCAUGCGACCCUUCCUUAAUUUAAAAUAUUACCAUCUGUGCAGCCGUUUAUAAAAUCUGAGAGUUAGCCAGUCGUUGGCUUCUAUCCCCAUGUAACUAGUACUGGGGUGUUCGGGAUAAACCUGAACACUCUUUACCCCAAUUUUGGGUCCUUCAAGGGAGGUGUUCAGCGCAACGAACCAGGCAAUCGGACUAUAAUGCUUUAUCACUCUCACUUAGCCAUAGAACUCUAUGAUUUUAAAUUUUGGCGAAGCCCCUGGUAUUCGGAGGGCCGAAUUUGGGGCGCUAUACUCGCCUAAGCCAGACAAGGCCGACUCCUCGCCCAAAGCGGAAAAAGUCUUUAAGGACUUGAGACCUCUCGAACAGCGACAAGUCUCUCGCCUUAUCAUGACAGUCAGUUUUUGGCUUUCUCUACUGAGGUGCUCGUCCGGAAGAACCGGGAAACAAUCGCAGUAGUUCUCCUACCGCUACCUUAGCCGAUAUAGCGGAACGUAAGGUACCAAAGCAUGGGAACCGGGCAACCCAACAUUUGACCAAAGACAUGAUUCGGAGCUGAUGGAUAUAAUGCUAUAAGUUCAGGGUGCCGCACUGUCGAAAGUGUUUAGAGUUCUUCCGCCAUAUUAUGGGGUAAACGAGAACCCCUGGCGAACUGACUGUACCCGAACGUGCGGUUGCGGAUUGUCGUAAGUGGACAUAUAAGGGAAAGAGAAAAACUUAAAUAAUGCAAUGACAGGUUAAUGAUAUGCAUUGUUAUGUGAAUAAUACGUCGAAGCGUACUUGGUACAGGUAGUGCAAUAAGCAUAAAGUAGGACAAUUCGAAAUGUCCUAUCCCAGGGCAAGCUACGCAUAAAUAGUGAAAAGCGGGUAUAUCAAUUAUUACUAGAGACCACCUGGCGGUUCCCGUGUUCAUCUUAGCUUCUUGCCGCCUUGGUUGUUGCUUCCGGAAUGUGUCCGGCAAUCGUACUGCCGGAAAGGGCUUCCAGAGAGUUAGGCCCUGAAAGAGAGAAGGAAUGACAAAGGUAUACAUCCCCUAGUGCGGUUAAGCCACAAUGCGGGGCAUGUCCUGAUCGUGCCCCCGCCUAUGUCCAUGGUAUUUUCAAUGCGUAGUUAUGUACGCGCGGCACGGAUUUCGUCACUUCACUGGGACUGGGAUGGGGGCCGAACUGCAAGGCGAGCUCUGAUCGUGCCAGGCGAUCCUGUUGCAGCUUGUUCCAGACUCGCUUGAAGGUGUCCCCGGGCUGUGACGCCGAAUGAGUGGUGUGCCUGAACAUGCUGCUUUGUGCUUCUGCUGCAAGGGCCGCCGUAUGCUCUUCCGUAUGGAGCGAGUGUUCUGUGUUUCCAUUUACUGUUAUGACCCCGCGAGUGAAGGAAAUAUGCCCUAGAGGCAAUAAUAAAGUUAUUAUUUAUUUCCUUAUAUCAUGAUAAAUAUUUAUUAUUCAUGCUAGAAUUUUAUUAACCGGAAACAUAAUAUAUGUGUGAAUACAUAGACAAACAAAGUGUCACUAGUAUGCCUCUACUUGACUAGCUCGUUGAUCAAAGAUGGUUAUGUUUCCUAACCAUAGACAUGAAUUGUCAUUUGAUUAACGGGAUCACAUCAUUAGGAGAAUGAUGUGAUUGACUUGACCCAUUCCGUUAGCUUAGCACUUGAUCGUUUAGUUUGUUGCUAUUGCUUUCUUCAUAACUUAUACAUGUUCCUAUGACUAUGAGAUUAUGCAACUCCUGUUUACCAGAGGAACACUUUGUGUGCUACCAAAUGACACAAUGUAACUGGGUGAUUAUAAAGGUGCUCUACAGGUGUCUCCGAAGGUACUUGUUGGGUUGGCGUAUUUCGAGAUUAGGAUAUGUCACUUCGAUUGUCGGAGAGGUAUCUCUGGGCCCUCUUGGUAAAGCACAUCACUCAAGCCUUGCAAGCAUUGCAACUAAUAAGUUAGUUGCGGGAUGAUGUAUUACAAGACGAGUAAAGAGACUUGCUGGUAACGAGAUUGAACUAGGUAUUGAGAUACCGACGAUCGAAUCUCGGGCAAGUAACAUACUGAUGACAAAGGGAACAACGUACGUUGUUAUGCGGUCUGACCGAUAAAGAUCUUCAUAGAAUAUGUAGGAGCCAAUAUGAGCAUCCAGGUUCCGCUAUUGGUUACUGACCGGAGACGUGUCUCGGUCAUGUCUACGUAGUUCUCGAACCAGUAGGGUCCGCACGCUUAAAGUUCGGUGACGAUCGUAAUUAGGGUUUUUGUGUUUUGAUGUACCGAAGGUUGUUCGGAGUCUCGGAUGUGAUCACGGACAUGACGAAGAGUCUUGAAAUGGUCGAGACAUGAAGAUUGAUAUAUUGGAAGCAUAUAUUUGGAUAUCGGAAACAUUCCGGGUGAAAUCAGGAUUUUACCGGAGUACCGGGGUGUUACCGGACCCCCCCCCCCCCGGGGGGGGGGGGUUAUUGGGCCUACAUGGUCCAUAAGGGAGAAGAGGAGGGCCGGCCAGGGCAGGCCGCGCGCCCCCUCCCCCCUAGUCCGAAUAGGACAAGGAAGGGGGGGCUUUCCUCUUUCUCCCUUCCUCCUUCCUUUUCCAACAAGGCAAGAGGGGGGAGUCCUACUCUCGGUUGGAGUAGGACUCCUCCAGGCGCACCCCUAGGGCCGGCCGCACCUCCCCCUCUCCCUCCUUUAUAUACCGAGGCAAGGGGGCACCCCAUGACACACAAGUUGAUCCUCGUGAUCGUUCCUUAGCCAUGUGCGGUGCCCCUUCCACCAUAUUCCACCUCGGUCAUAUCGUAGCGGUGCUUAGGCGAAGCCCUGCGUCGGUAGAACAUCAUCACCGUCAUCAUGCCAUCGUGCUGACGAAACUCUCCCUCAACGUUUUGCUAGAUCGGAGCUCGAGGGACGCCACCGAGUUGAACGUGUGCAGAACUCGGAUGUGCCGUACAUUCAGUACUUGGAUCGGUCGAAUCGGGAAGACAUACGACUACUUACUCUACGUUGUGUCAACGCUUCCGUUGCCGGUCUACGAGGGUACUUAGACAACACUCUCCCCUCUCGUUGCUAUGCAUCACCAUGAUCUUGCAUGUGCGUAGGAAAAUUUUGAAAUUACUACGUUCCCCAACAGCGAGGUCCUGGCAUCUUGAGCUUGAGGUAUGCGUAAUGCGGCACAGCAUUGAAUUUUGCAAAUGUUGUCCGUCCGAGUAGUGCAUGAUAGCCACUGCGAAACGGCACGAUGUCGGAGAUUAACUCUUCGCUUCGGAAGUUGUCCGGUGAUCCGAAGACCACUUUUAGUGUGAUUGAGCAUGUGCAAUGGGCCUCUACACCUGGGAUGACGCCUUUAAAGGUGGUUUUGCUGGGUUUGAUCCUCGGGGGAUCGAUUCCCAUUUUUCGCACUAUAUCCUGAUAAAGCAGGUUUAGGCUACUGCCGCCGUCCAUAAGGACUCAAGUGAGGUGAAAUCCGUCAAUGAUGGGGUCUAGGACCAGUGCGGCGGAUCCGCAAUGACGGAUGCUAGUGGGGUGGUUCCUGCGAUCGAAGGUGAUUGGGCAAGCAGACCACGGGUUGAACUUUGGGGCGACGGGCUCCAUCGCAUAGAUGUCCCUUAGUGCACGCUUCUGCUCCCUGUUGGGAAUGUGGGUUGCGUAUAUCAUGUUCACCAUCUUCACUUGUGGGGGAAACCCCUUCUGUCCUCCUGUGUUCGGCGGCCGGGGCUCCUCCUCGUCGUCCCUAUGCAGCCCCUUGUCCUUGUUUUCGGCAUUUAACUUGAUGGCCUGCUUGAACACCCAGCAUUCUCUAUUGGUGUGAUUGGCUGGCUUGUCGGGGGUGCCAUGGAUUUGACACGAGCGGUCUAGUAUGCGAUCUAGACUGGACGGAGCCGGAGUAUUUCUUUUAAAUUGCUUUUUCCGCUGAUCGGAUCUAGAGCCUCUGAAUCCGGCAUCGACUGGCGGUUAAGUCGUCGACAGUGGCUACUAAGUGGGUGGUGGGUGGGCAGCGAAUUUCUUCGUCGUCCGCAUCCCAUUCUAGCCUGACAUAGUUCGGCCAAAGUUCUCCAGACAGGGAGAGAGACCUUAAUGAAUUUAGAACAUCUCCGAAAGGUGAGUGCUGAAAGAUAUCCGCAGAGGUGAACUCCAUGAUCGACGCCCAGUCGGAUUCAACGGGCACGGAUGUGAGCGGCUCGGAGUCCGUGGCCGGAGACGAACCCAGUGGUUCGGCGACACAGCUCUCGUAAGGGGUGAAGUCAGUAUUUGGCUCUAUCGCCACUGAUAGUGCGGCCUCCAUGGCGGGGUCUAUCCCUCCGCUCUCGGAUGGCGCGAUUUGCCCCGGAGUAACGGCCAGAGCAGUUGCGGAUGCGAUCUCCCGAACAUCGUCCGACGGCAGAGUUACGUCAUGCUCGUCGCGACUGUGCGGCGCGUCCGACAUGGGCUCAAAUCCGUCGAAGAUCAAGUCUCCGCAGAUGUCGGCCUUGUAGUUCAAGUUUCCAAAUCUGACCUGAUGGCCAGGGGCGUAGCUCUCGAUCUGCUCCAGAUGGCCAAGCGAAUUGGCCCGCAGUGCGAAGCCGCCGAAUACGAAGAUCUGUCCGGGGAGGAAAACCUCACCCUGGACCGCAUCGUUACCGAUGAUCGAAGGAGCCAUCGAACCUUAUGGUGACGGCAUAGUGGAACUCUCAAUGAAAGCACCAAUGUCGGUGUCAAUACCGGCGGAUCUCGGGUAGUGGGUCCCGAACUGUGCGUAUAAGGCGGAUGGUAACAGGAGGCAGGGGACACGAUGUUUGCCCAGGUUCGGGCCCUCUUGAUGGAGGUAAUACCCUACAUCCUGCUUGAUUGUUCUUGAUAAUAUGAGUGUUACAAGAGUUGAUCUACCACGAGAUCAGAGAGGCUAAACCCUAGAAGCUAGCCUAUGGAUGAUUGUAUGUCAUCCUACGGACAAAAUCCCGCGGUUUAUAUAGACACCAGAGAGGGCUAGGGUUACACAAGGUCGGUUAUAGAGGAGGAGAUAUACAUAUCCGUAUUGCCUAGCUUGCCUUCCACGCCAAGUAGAGUGCCAUCCGGACACGGGACGAAGUCUUCAAUCUUGUAUCUUCAUAGUCCAGUAGUCCGGCCAAGGGAUAUAGUCCGGCUGUUCGGAGACUCCCUAAUCUAGGACUCCCUCAAAAAUACUUAGAGAUAAAAGCAUCUUUGCACUUAUUCCAUGAAUCAAUACUAUUUUUAAGCAAAGACGAAAACAAAUCUUUAGCACGAUCUCUAAGCGAAAACGGAAAUAGCUUAAGUUUAACAAUAUCAUUAUCCACAUCUUUCUUCUUUUGCAUAUCACACAAAUCAACAAAGUUAUUUAGAUGGGUAGCGGCAUCUUCACUAGGAAGGCCAGAAACGGAUCUUUCAUGACAAGAUUCAGCAAAGCAGUAUUAAUUUCACAAGAUUCAGCAUCGGUAAGAGGAGCAAUCGGAGUGCACAUAAAAUCAUUAUUGUUGGUAUUGGCAAAAUCACACAAUUUAGUAUUAUCUUCAGCCAUCGUGACAAGCAAGCAAUCCAACACACAAGCAAACAAGGAAUGAGCAAAAAGGAAAACUGGAAAAGAGGAGGGGAACGGAAAGAGAGGGCGAAAUGAAAAGAGGGUGAAUAAAACAACAAGGGUGAAGUGGGGGAAAGGAAAAUGAGAGGCAAAUGGCAAAUAAUAUAAUGCGAGGGAUAAGAGUUUGUGAUGGGUACUUGGUAUGUCUUGACUUGUGCGUAGACUCCAGCAACGGUGCCAAAAAUGGCUCGUUGUUGGGAGUCAAAUUUUGACUUGACUUGCGCGAAUCUUCCCGGCAAUGGCGCCAGAAAUCCUUCUUGCUACCUCCUUAGCACUGCGUUGGUUUUCCCUUGAAGAGGAAAGAGUGAUGCAGCAAAGUAGCCUAAGUAUUUCCCUCAGUUUUUGAGAACCAAGGUAUCAAUCCAGUAGGAGAUAGUGCUUGAGUCCCACGCACCUACACAAACAAAUAAGAACCUCGCAACCAACGCGAUAAAGGGGUUGUCAAUCCCUUCACGGUCACUUACGAGAGUGAGAUCUGAUAGAUAUGAUAAGAUAAUAUUUUUGGUAUUUUUAUGAUAAAGAGAAAUAAAGAUGCAAAGUAAAAUAAACAUCGAAGGAAAUAACUAACUAUCCGUAGAUUAAUAUGAUGGAACAUAGACCCCGGGGGCCAUAGGUUUCACUAGUGGCUUCUCUCAAGAGCAUAAGUAUUAUGGUGGGUAAACGAAUUACUGUCGAGCAAUUGAUAGAAUUGAGCAUAGUUGUGAGAAUAUCUAGGUAUGAUCAUCUAUAUAGGCAUCACGUACGCGACAAGUAGACCGAAACGAUUCUACAUCUACUACUAUUACUCCACACAUCGACCGCUAUCCAACAUGCAUCUAGAGUAUUAAGUUCAUAAGAACAGAGUAAUGCUUUAAGUAAGAUGACAUGAUGUAGAGGGAUAAACUCAUGCAAUAUGAUAUAAACCCCAUCUUUUUAUCCUCGAUGGCAACAAUACAAUAUGUGUUGGUUCCCUUUCUGUCACUGUGAUCGAGCACCGCAAGAUUGAACCCAAAGCUAAGCACUUCUCCCAUUGCAAUAAAGAUCAAUCUAGUAGGCCAAACCAAACUGAUAAUUCGAAGAGACUUGCAAAGAUAAACCAAUCAUACAUAAAAGAAUUCAGAGGAGACUCAAAUAUUGUUCAUAGAUAAACUUGAUCAUAAACCCACAAUUCAUCGAAUCUCGACAAACACACCGCAAAAGAAGAUUAUGUCGAAUAGAUCUCCAAGAUGAUCGAGGAGAACUUUGUAUUGAGAUUCAAAGAGAGAGAAGAAGCCAUCUAGCUAAUAACUAUGGACCCGAAGGUCUGACGUAAACUACUCACACAUCACCGGAGAGGCCAUGAAGUUGAUGUAGAGGCCCUCCAUGAUCAAUGCCCUCUCCGGCGGAGCUCCGUAAAAGGCCCCAAGAUGGGAUCUCUUGGGUAUAGAAGGUUGCGGUGGUGGAAUUAGGUUUUCGUGGUGCUCCUGGAUGUUUGGAGGAUACGUGGAUAUAUAUAGGAGGAAGAUGUACGUCGGUGGAGCAAGGAGGGGCCCACGAGGGUGGAGGGCGCGCCCCCUGCAUCGUGCCCGCCUCGAUCGUUUCUUGACACCCACUCCAAGUCUCCUGGAUCACAUUUGUUGAGAAAAUCACGUUCCGGAAGGUUUCAUUCCGUUUGGACUCCAUUUGAUAUACCUUUUCUUCGAAACCCUAAAAUAUUCAAAAAAACAGCAAUUUCGGCUGGGCCUCCGGUUAGUAGGUUAGUACCAAAAAUGAUAUAAAAGUGUAAAAUAAAGCCCAUUAAUAUCCAAAAUAGCUAAUAUAAUAGCAUGGAGCAAUCAAACAUUAUAGAUACGUUGGAGACGUAUCAAUCCACGUGUGACGCAGAGUACAUAGCUGCUUCGGAAGCAGCAAAUGAAGGAGUUCAUAUCUGAUCUAGGUGUAAUACCUAGUGCAUCGGGUCCAAUGAAAAUCUUUUGUGACAAUACUGGAGCAAUAGCCUUGGCGAAGGAAUCCAGAUUUCACAGGAGAACCAACACUACUAGAAAAAGGCCUGUUAGUGGCGCACCUAUUUUGGCCAUUAAUGGCGCACUAUAGGUGCGCCACUAUUACCACGCCACUAGUAAAAGAUACUAAUGGCGCACUAGAGAUGCGCCAUUAGUAUACCAGAUAAUAGUGGCGCACCUGGCAGUGCGCAAUUACUAUGUCCAAUAGCGCGCCCUUACUAUGCCUCCUAGGGGGCCAUAUUUACCUUCAUGUAUGCCCCCAACUAUGCUAUUACUAUGCCCCGUAAUGCGCCACUGGUAUUUAGCCUUGGUGCGCCACUACUAUGAAUAUUAGGAAUUUUUUUUGCUUUUCUGAUAUUUGCACAAGUUACAAAAUACAUUAUAGCACAGAAUAUAAAAAGCAGAUUUAUCGAAUACAAUAGAAGAUUAGUCUCUGAAUACAAUUCAUCAUAUUAGUCACCGAAUUCAAAAUAUCGAACAAACUUAGAACAUUACAAGUCUCAAGACCGCGAGUAGCGAGUUUGUCUUCACAUUACAAGUGGAUAUCUAAACUACCAUCACAUAGAAGAGAGUUGCGGUCACGAUGAGCAUCAUCGCGAUGAAACUGAUAUUCAUCUGGUUCCUCCUCUGCUCCCUCCUCUCUCCCGCUAGAUAGCGCGCGUAUCUAGCUUCCGCCUCCGCCCUAGUGGUGUACCCUUUGUAACUGUUACUGCUAAAAUGGUGAACCUCUCUCCAACACUCCUCCCAGUCGUCGUAGACUCCGGGAACUAUACCCUUGUACACGACAUACGACGGCAUCUCUAUGCACUAGACAAACAAAACGCUAGUAGCAAUUCACAGACAAUAUAUAAGCAAUAUAUAAGUAUGCAACAAAAGGAUCAGAAGAGAAAAGCAACACAUUAAUAGCACGAUUCAUGGUCCUACUAAUAAAUAGCAUCGAUUACAUAUAAGUUGAACGACUGUCCAAACCAAAGAGAAAUACAAGUUCAUUAAAGUUUAAUUACAACAUCAUCUAAUCGAUAUUACAGAACUAUAUAACAUCAUUACUUUCGACUCAACACAGGGACCAGAGCGUGGAUGAAGCCGCCAUCUUUCGUGAUGGUCAUGAAAUAGCGAUCGUUGUCAGCCUGCAUUUAUAGCGUUGUUUCUGUUUCACUGUUGGACGGUUGAUAUUUGAGGUAGAGCUGCCCUGAGGUAUGAAGGACAUCUUGAUGGAGGAUUUCCGCAAACUCCGUCUGGAUGCGAAAGAAUUCUUGUCUGAUGUCUGCGUCCUGGAUUGCCGACAAGCUUGCGGCCCAAUCUUUGAGAUUAUUUGGUAGCAGAAGGUGAUUAUGGUCCCAUACGAUCGCCCGCAUGUGAUGGAGGGCGUGGUAGGCAUCCUUCUGACCGCCAAGCGGCUUCUUGAUGCAGGGGAACGUCGUUACGUGGGUGAACACGUGCUUGCCAUACCUACAAAUUGGCCUCCUGAAGGUGCCUCCAGAUUUGGCUUAGUCGGGGAGAGCAUCAUCAAGAACUUUCUUGAUAUUUGUGUACUCUUUCUUCGACUGGCGGUCCGAGUCGAAAUACGUGGCCAUGGAAUAUUUUGGGCUUAAGAGGAUGAGUGUGCAAUGUGUGUCACUGCACAAAACACGGAAUGUUAGAAAAAAAAGAACGAUCGAAAUCUAAGAAAUCAUAUGUCACUACUAGGAAAAGGCAUGUUAAUGGCGCACCUGUUUUGGCCAUUAAUGGCGCACUACAGGUGCGCCACUAUCAUCACGCCAUUAGUAACUAAUACUAAUGGCGCACCCCUGGUGCGCCAUUAGUAUAUCAGAUAGUAGUGGCGCACCAGGCAGUGCGCCAUUAGUAUGUCCCAUGGUGCGCCAUUAGUAUGCCUCCCAGGGGCCAUAUUUACCUUCUGCUCUGGGUUACUAAUGGCGCACUAACAGACAAUGCGCCACUAGUAUUUUUACAGCAGUGCACCACUAAUGUGCCGUAUGGUGUGCCACUAGUAUGAAUAUUAGAAUUUUUUUUCUUUUCUGAUAUUUGCACAGGUUACAAAAUAUAUUACUGCACAGAAUAUAGACAGCACCACACAGCAACAGCAGAUUUAUCGAAUACAAUAGAAGAUUAGUCUCCGAAUACAAUUCAUCAUAUUAGCUAGUCUCCAAACUCAAAAUACCGAGCAAAGUUAGAACAUUACAAGUCUUGAGACCGCAAGUAGCGAGUUUGUCUUCACAUUACAAGUCGAUAUCGAUCAUCUAAACUACCAUCACAUAGAAGAGAGUUGCGGUCAUCACGAUUAGCAUAAUCGCGAUGAAACUGGUCUUCAUCCGGUUCCUCCUCUGCUCCCUCCUCUCUCCCGCUAGAUAGCGCGCGUAUCUAGCAUCCGCCUCCCCCCUAGUGGUGUAUGAUACGUCUCCAACGUAUCUAUAAUUUUUGAUUGCUCCAUGCUACUUUAUCUACUAUUUUGGACUAUGUUGGGCUUUAUUUUCCACUUUUUAUUUAUUUUUGGGACUAACCUAUUAACCGGAGACCCAGCCCAGAAGUGAUGUUUUUUGCCUAUUUCAGUAUUUCGAGGAAACAGAAUAUCAAACGGAGUCCAAACGGAAUGAAACCUUCGGGAACGUGAUCUUCUCACCGAACGUGAUCCAGGAGACUUGGACCCUACUCCAAGAAGUUUCCGGGGAGGUCACGAGGGUGGAGGGCGCCCCCCCUGGGCGCGCCCCCUGCCUCAUGGGCCCCUCGGAGCUCCACCGACGUGCUCCUUCCUCCUAUAUAUACCUACGUACCCCCAUUAGACCAGAGGGAGAGAGCCAAAAAAACCUAAUUCCACCACCGCAACUUCCUGUAUCCACAAGAUCCCAUCUUGGGGCCUGUUUCGGAGCUCCGCCAGAGUGGGCACCCAUCACGGAGGGCUUCUACAUCAACACCAUAGCCCUUCCGAUGAGGUGUGAGUAGUUUACUUCAGACCUUCGGGUCCAUAGCUAGUAGCUAGAUGGCUUCUUCUCUCUUUUUGGAUCUCAAUACAAUGUUCUCCCCCUCUCUCGUGGAGAUCUAUUCGAUGUAAUCUUCUUUUUGCGGUGUGUUUGUUGAGACCGAUGAAUUGUGGGUUUAUGAUCCAACUUAUCUAUCAAUAAUAUUUGAAUCUUCUCUGAAUUCUUUUAUGUAUGAUUGAGUUAUCUUUGCAAGUCUCUUCGAAUUAUCCGUUUGGUUUGGCCAACUAGAUUGGUAGUUCUUGCAAUGGGAGAAGUGCUUAGCUUUGAGUUCAAUCUUGCAGUGUCCUUACUCAGUGACAGAAAGAGUUGCAAGGCACGUAUUGUAUUGUUUCCAUCGAGGAUAACAAGAUGGGGUAUUUAUCAUAUUGCAUGAAUUUAUUCCUCUACAUCAUGUCAUCUUGCUUAAGGCGUUACUCUGUUUUUAACUUAAUACUCUAGAUGCAUGCUGGAUAGCGGUCGAUGAGUGGAGUAAUAGUAGUAGAUGCAGGCAGGAGUCGGUCUACUUGUCACGAACGUGAUGCCUAUAUACAUGAUCAUACCUAGAUAACCUCAUAACUAUGCUCAAUUCUAUCAAUUGCUCAACAGUAAUUGGUUCACCCACCGUAGAAUAUCUAUGCUCUUGAGAGAAGCCACUGGUGAAACCUAUGGCCCACGGGUCUAUUCUCAUCAUAUCAAUCUCCAUUACUUUAUUUUACUUGUUUUGCUUUUACUUUUUACUUUGCAUCUGUAUACCAAAAAUACCAAAAAUAUUAUCUCUAUCAGAUCUCACUCUCAUAAGUGACCGUGAAGGGAUUGACAACCCCUAAGCGUUGGUUGCGAGUUGCUACCGUUUUGUGUAGGUACGAGGGACUUGCGCGUGACCUCCUACUGGAUUGAUACCUUGGUUCUCAAAAACUGAGGGAAAUACUUACGCUACUGUGCUGCAUCACCCCACUCCUCUUCGGGGAAAACCAACGCUAGCUCGAGACGUAGCAAGAAGGAUUUCUGGCGUCGUUGCCGGGGAGGCCUACGCCAAGUCAAGUCAAGAUUUACUCUCCCGUCAAUGAGCCAUUUCUGGCGCCGUUGCCGGGGAGGCCUACGCCAAGUCAAGUCAAGAUUUACUCUCCCGUCAACGAGCCAUUUCUGGCGCCGUUGCCGGGGAAGCCUAUGCAAAAGUCAACAUACCAAGUACCCAUCACAAUCUCUAUCUCUCGCAUUACAUUAUUUGCCAUUUGCCUCUCGUUUUCCUCUCCCCCACUUCACCCUUGCCGUUUUAUUCGCCCUCUCUUUCCCUUUGCCUUUUGUUUGCUCGUGUGUUAGUUUGCUUGCUUGUUCGUCAUGAUGGCCUUACCUAAUUUUGGUGAUCUUCACCUUAAAAGGCUAGAAGAUAUCGAAAACAAUGUCAGGAAGUUUAUGGUCUUGCAAUUUGAGCAUAAUAAUUUCUUUAGAAAUGAGCUUAUGGAACAAAAGAGUUUUAUGAGUUAUAUGAAUAAAGAGCUCGAUGAUAUGUCCAAAGAAUUUGAUGGUGUAAGAGCCCAAAUUGCUCAUCUUGAAAAAAAUACCGAUGAAAUUUCGGAUAUGCAAGCCACCUUAGUCAAUAAGAUGGCCGCUAAACCGAAUAACUAUGAAAAUCAAGAUGAAGAUCUAAAAGUUAUUGAUGUGUCCCCUAUUAAAUCUUUGUUUUGCAAUAUGAAUCUUGAUGAAUCUGAUUAUGAUCUUCCCUUACCUAGAAGGCGUUCUAAGAAUUCUGAGUUUUUAGAUCCUGAUGAUGAAAUUGAUAAAAAAGGGAUUGAAAGAAAUAAAAAUCUAGAUAUUGCUAAACCCACUAUUUUGGAUCUCAAGGAAUUUAACUAUGAAAAUUGCUCUUUAAUUGAUUGUAUUUCCUUGUUGCAAUCCGUGUUAAAUUCUCCUCAUGCUUAUAGUCGAAAUAAGGCCUUUACCGAACACAUUGUUGACGCCUUAAUGCAAUCUUAUGAAGAAAAGCUUGAGUUGAAAGUUUCCAUCCCUAGAAAACUCCAUGAUGAGUGGGAACCUAUAAUUAAGAUUAAAAUUAAAAAUUACGAGUUUUAUGCUUUGUGUGAUUUGGGUGCUAGUGUCUCUGCUAUCCCCAAAGCUUUGUGUGAUUUGCUAGAUUUCCGUGACUUUGAUGAUUGCUCUCUAAACUUGCAUCUUGCGGAUUUCACUAUUAAAAAGCCUAUGGGAAGAAUUAAUGAUGUUCUUAUUGUUGAAAAUAGUAAUUAUGUGCCCGUAGAUUUUAUCGUUCUUGAUAUAGAUUACAAUCCUUCAUGUCCUAUUAUUCUUGGUAGACCUUUCCUUAGAACGAUUGGUGCAAUUAUUGAUAUGAAGGAAGGGAAUAUUAAAUUCCAAUUUCCCUUAAAGAAGGGCAUGGAACACUUUCCUAGAAAGAAAAUAAAAUUACCAUAUGAAUCUAUCAUGAGAGCCACUUAUGGAUUGCCUACUAAAGAUGGCAAUACCUAGAUCUAUCCUUGCUUUUAUGCCUAGCUAGGGGCGUUAAACGAUAGCGCUUGUUGGGAGGCAACCCAAUUUUAUUUUUUGUUUUUUGUUUUUGUUUCUGUUUAGGAAUAAAUAAUCCAUCUAGAUUCUGUUUAGAUGUGGUUUUAUCUUUUAAUUAGUGUUUGUGCCAAGUUAAAUCUAUUAGAUCUUCUUGGAAGAUAGUUAUUUGAUCUUGCUGUAAUUUCCAGAAUCUUUGCGCUCAGUGCCCGAAUUGUCAAAAAUCACCAGAACGUGAUAAAAUAGUAAUUCCAAUUGCUGCUGAUCAAUAAACAAAUUUCCCAGGUCGUCUAAUUUUGGUAGAAUUGUUUGGGUUCCAGAAGUUUUCGUUAGUAACAGAUUACUACAGACUGUUCUGUUUUUGACAGAUUCUGUUUUGCGUGUGUUGUUUGCUUAUUUUGAUGAAUCUAUGGCCAGUAAAAUAGUUUAUAAACCAUAGAGAAGUUGGAAUACAUUAGGUUUAACACCAAUACAAAUAAAGAACAAGUUCACUACAGUACCUUAAAGUAGUCUUUUGUUUUCUUUCUUUAACGGAGCUCACGAGAUUUCUAUUGAGUUUUGUGUUGUGAAGUUUUCAAGUUUUGGGUGAAUUAUUUUGAUGGAUUAUGGAACAAGGAGUGGCAAGAGCCUAAGCUUGGGAUGCCCAUGGCACCCCCAAGAUAAUCCAAGGACACCAAAAAUUCAAAGCUUGGGGAUGCCCCGGAAGGCAUCCCCUCUUUCGUCCACUUCCAUCGGUAAUUUACUUGGAGCUAUAUUUUUAUUCACCACAUGAUAUGUGUUUUGCUUGGAGCGUCUUGUAUUAUUUGUGUCUUUGCUUGUUAGUCUACCACAAUCAUCCUUGCUGUACACACCUUUUGAGGGAGCCAUGUAUGAAUUGAAAAUUGUUAGAAUACUCUAUGUGCUUCACUUAUAUCUUUUGAGCGUGAUAAUUUUUGCUCUAGUGCUUCACUUAGAUCUUUUAGAGCACGGUGGUGGUUUGUUUUAAAGAAACUUGAUCUCUCAUGCUUCACUUAUAUUAUUUUGAGAGUCGUUAAUAUCAUGGUAAUUUGCUUAAUGUUAAUAUACUUGGUAUUCAAGAUAUGUGAAACUUUCUUUUUAGUGGGUUGAAUACUAAGAUAAGUUUGAUGCUUGAUAAUUUUUUUGAGAUAUGGAGGUGAUAAUAUCAUAGUCGUGCUAGUUGAGUAGUUGUGAAUUUGAUAAAUACUUGUGUUGAAGUUAGCAAGUCCCGUAGCAUGCACGUAUGGUUAAAGUUGUGUAACAAAUUUGAAACAUGAAGUGUACCUGGCUUGUGCAUCCUUAUGAGUGGCAGUCGGGGACGAGCGAUGGUCUUUUCCUACCAAUCUAUCCCCCUAGGAGCAUGCGCGUAGUACUUGAUUUUUGAUGACUUCUAAAUUUUUGCAAUAAGUAUAUGAGUACUUUUGUCUAAUGUUGAGUCCAUGGAUUAUACGCACUUUUACCUUUCCGCCAUUUGCUAGCCUCUUCGGUACCGUGCAUUGCCCUUUCUCACAUUGAGAGUUGGUGCAAACUUCGCCGUUGCAUCCAAACCCCGUGAUAUGAUACACUCUUUCACACAUAAACCUCCCUAUAUCUUCCUCAAAACAGCCACCAUACCUACCUAUCAUGGCAUUUCCAUAGCCAUUCCGAGAUAUAUUGCCAUGCAACUUCCAUCAUCAUCAUCAUCAUCAUCAUGACAUGCUUUACUUUUGUCAUAUUGCCAUUGCAUGAUCUUGUAGUUGACAUCGUAUUUGUGGCAAAGCCACCAUGAAUUAUUUUUCAUACAUGUCACUCUUGAUUCAUUGCACCAUCCCGAUAGACCGCCGGAGGCAUUCAUAUAGAGUCAUAUCUUGUUCUAGUAUCGAGUUGUAAUCAUUAUGUUGUAAUCAAUAGAAGUGUGAUGGUCAUCAUUAUUAGAGCAUUGCCCAAUCAAAAAAAGAGAGAAAGGCCAAAAAGAAAAAAAGAAAGACCCAAAAAAAGAGAAAAUAAAAAGGUCAAUGCUACUAUCUCUUUUUCCACACUUGUGCUUCAAAGUAGCACCUUGUUCUUCAUGUAGUGAGUCUCAUAUAUUGUGCUUCAAAGUAGCACCAUGAUUUUCAUAUAGUGAGUCUCAUAAGUUGUCUUGUUCAUACUAGUGGGAAUUUUUCAUUAUAGAACUUGGCUUGUAUAUUCCAACGAUGGGCUUCCUCAAAAUGCCCUAGGUCAUCAUGAGCAAGCAAGUUGAAUGCACACCCACUAGUUUUCUUUUGUUGAGCAUUCUUAGCUCUAGUGCAUCCGUUGCAUGGCAAUCCCUACUCCUUGCAUUAACAUCAAUUGAUGGGCAUCUCCAUAGCUCAUUGAUUAGCCUCAUUGAUGUGAGACUUUCUCCUUUUUUGUCUUCUCCACACAAUCCCCAUCAUCAUAUUCUAUACCACCCAUAGUACUAUGUCCAUGUCUAGCGCUCAUGUAUUGCGUGAAGGUUGAAAAAGUUUGAGAUUGUUUGAGUAUGAAACAAUUGCUUGGCUUGUCAUCGGGGGUAUAGCAGUUGGGAACAUAUUUGUGUGACGAAAAUGAAGCAUAGCCUAACUAUAUGAUUUUGUAGGGAUACUUCCUUUGGCCAUGUUAUUUUGAGAAGACAAAAUUGUUUAAUUAGUAUGCUUGAAGUAUUAUCAUUUUUAUGUCAAUAUGAACUUUUGUCUUGAACCUUUCGGAUCUGAAUAUUCAUACCAUGAUUAAGAAGAUUUACAUUGAAAUUAUGCCAAAGUAUCACUCCGCAUCAAAAAUUCUCUUUUUAUCAUUUACCUACUCGAGGACGAGCAGGAAUUAAGCUUGGGGAUGCCUGAUACGUCUCCAACGUAUCUAUAAUUUUUGAUUGCUCCAUGCUACUUUAUCUACUGUUUUGGACUAUAUUGGGCUUUAUUUUCCACUUUUAUAUUAUUUUUGGGACUAACCUAUUAACCGGAGGCCCAUCCCAGAAUUGCUGUUUUUUUGCCUAUUUCAGUAUUUCGAGGAAACAUAAUAUCAAACGGAGUCCAAACGGAAUGAAACCUUCAGGAACGUGAUCUUCUCACCGAACGUGAUCCAGGAGACUUGGACCCUACUCCAAGAAGUUUCCGGGGAGGUCACGAGGGUGGAGGGCGCCCCCCCUAAGUGCGCCCCCUGCCUCGUGGGCCCCUUGGAGCUCCACCAACGUGCUCCUUCCUCCUAUAUAUACCUACGUACCCCCAUUAGACCAGAGGGAGAGAGCCAAAAAAGCCUAAUUCCACCGCCACAACUUCCUGUACCCACGAGAUCCCAUCUUGGGGCCUGUUCUGGAGCUCCGCCGGAGAGGGCAUCCAUCACGGAGGGCUUCUACAUCAACACCAUAGCCCUUCCGAUGAAGUGUGAGUAAUUUACUUCAGACCUUCGGGUCCAUAGAUAGUAGCUAGAUGGCUUCUUCUCUCUUUUUGGAUCUCAAUACAAUGUUCUUCCCCUCUCUCGUGGACAUCUAUUCGAUGUAAUCUUCUUUUUGCGGUGUGUUUGUUGAGAUCGAUGAAUUAUGGGUUUAUGAUCCAACUUAUCUAUGAAUAAUAUUUGAAUCUUCUCUGAAUUCUUUUAUUUAUGAUUGAGUUAUCUUUGCAAGUCUCUUCGAAUUAUCCGUUUGGUUUGGCCAACUAGAUUGGUAGUUCUUGCAAUGGGAGAAGUGCUUAGCUUUGGGUUCAAUCUUGCGGUGUCCUUACUCAGUGACAGAAAGAGUUGCAAGGCACGUAUUGUAUUGUUGCCAUCGAGGAUAACAAGAUGGGGUAUUUAUCAUAUUGCAUGAAUUUAUUCCUCUACAUCAUGUCAUCUUGCUUAAGGCGUUACUCUGUUUUUAACUUAAUACUCUAGAUGCAUGCUGGAUAGCGGUCGAUGAGUGGAGUAAUAGUAGUAGAUGCAGGCAGGAGUCGGUCUACUUGUCACAGACGUGAUGCCUAUAUACCUGAUCAUACCUAGAUAACCUCAUAACUAUGCUCAAUUCUAUCAAUUGCUCAACAGUAAUUUGUUCACCCACCGUAGAAUAUCUAUGCUCUUGAGAGAAGCCACUAGUGAAACCUAUGGCCCCCGGGUCUAUUCUCAUCAUAUCAAUCUCCAUUACUUUAUUUUACUUGUUUUUCUUUUACUUUUUACUUUGCAUCUUUAUACCAAAAAUACCAAAAAUAUUAUCUCUAUCAGAUCUCACUCUCNNNNNNNNNNNNNNNNNNNNNNNNNNNNNNNNNNNNNNNNNNNNNNNNNNNNNNNNNNNNNNNNNNNNNNNNNNNNNNNNNNNNNNNNNNNNNNNNNNNNNNNNNNNNNNNNNNNNNNNNNNNNNNNNNNNNNNNNNNNNNNNNNNNNNNNNNNNNNNNNNNNNNNNNNNNNNNNNNNNNNNNNNNNNNNNNNNNNNNNNNNNNNNNNNNNNNNNNNNNNNNNNNNNNNNNNNNNNNNNNNNNNNNNNNNNNNNNNNNNNNNNNNNNNNNNNNNNNNNNNNNNNNNNNNNNNNNNNNNNNNNNNNNNNNNNNNNNNNNNNNNNNNNNNNNNNNNNNNNNNNNNNNNNNNNNNNNNNNNNNNNNNNNNNNNNNNNNNNNNNNNNNNNNNNNNNNNNNNNNNNNNNNNNNNNNNNNNNNNNNNNNNNNNNNNNNNNNNNNNNNNNNNNNNNNNNNNNNNNNNNNNNNNNNNNNNNNNNNNNNNNNNNNNNNNNNNNNNNNNNNNNNNNNNNNNNNNNNNNNNNNNNNNNNNNNNNNNNNNNNNNNNNNNNNNNNNNNNNNNNNNNNNNNNNNNNNNNNNNNNNNNNNNNNNNNNNNNNNNNNNNNNNNNNNNNNNNNNNNNNNNNNNNNNNNNNNNNNNNNNNNNNNNNNNNNNNNNNNNNNNNNNNNNNNNNNNNNNNNNNNNNNNNNNNNNNNNNNNNNNNNNNNNNNNNNNNNNNNNNNNNNNNNNNNNNNNNNNNNNNNNNNNNNNNNNNNNNNNNNNNNNNNNNNNNNNNNNNNNNNNNNNNNNNNNNNNNNNNNNNNNNNNNNNNNNNNNNNNNNNNNNNUAAAAACUUCAAAAAAUAAAAUCCUUCGAGAGGUAGUUAUAUUACUACAUCUACUAGUUAGGAAAAUUUGAAAACUUAAAUUUUGACAUGUUUUGCAAAAAGUGUAGAGAAAAUGUAAAACGGCUAUAACUUGUGCAUACGAUGUCGGAAAAAACGUAUAAUAUAUCAAAAAAUUCAGCACGAAAAUCCGCAUCCGAUGGAGACCGCCUACGACAUGUUUGCAAUUUUUUAGAAUCCUCAAAUUCCAAAAGGAAAAAAAGAUAUGGUCAAAUUUAAGUUUUUUUAAUUUUUUUUUGUUAAAUCUGGUCAAACUACUUAUUCAAGAAGUAUUAAUGUUACUACAUAAUUAUUCAAGAAUAUUAGUGUUACUAAAUAAUUAUUUCAAUUUUUUGAAUUUUGGUCAAACCUGGUCAAACUAUGGUCAAACUAUGGUCAAACUGUGGUCAAACUAUGGUCAAACUCAUUCUUGUCUGAUGUCUGCGUCCUGGAUUGCCGACAAGCUUGCGGCCCAAUCUUUGAGAUUAUGUGGUAGCAGAAGGUGAUUAUGGUCCCNNNNNNNNNNNNNNNNNNNNNNNNNNNNNNNNNNNNNNNNNNNNNNNNNNNNNNNNNNNNNNNNNNNNNNNNNNNNNNNNNNNNNNNNNNNNNNNNNNNNNNNNNNNNNNNNNNNNNNNNNNNNNNNNNNNNNNNNNNNNNNNNNNNNNNNNNNNNNNNNNNNNNNNNNNNNNNNNNNNNNNNNNNNNNNNNNNNNNNNNNNNNNNNNNNNNNNNNNNNNNNNNNNNNNNNNNNNNNNNNNNNNNNNNNNNNNNNNNNNNNNNNNNNNNNNNNNNNNNNNNNNNNNNNNNNNNNNNNNNNNNNNNNNNNNNNNNNNNNNNNNNNNNNNNNNNNNNNNNNNNNNNNNNNNNNNNNNNNNNNNNNNNNNNNNNNNNNNNNNNNNNNNNNNNNNNNNNNNNNNNNNNNNNNNNNNNNNNNNNNNNNNNNNNNNNNNNNNNNNNNNNNNNNNNNNNNNNNNNNNNNNNNNNNNNNNNNNNNNNNNNNNNNNNNNNNNNNNNNNNNNNNNNNNNNNNNNNNNNNNNNNNNNNNNNNNNNNNNNNNNNNNNUACGAUCGCCCGCAUGUGAUGGAGGGCGUAGUAGGCAUCCUUCUGACCGUCAGGCGGCUGCUUGACGCAGGGGAACGUCGUUUUGUGGGCGAGCACAUGCUUGCCGCACCUACAAAUUGGCCUGCUGAAGGUGCCUCCAGAUCUGGCGUAGCCGGGAUAACAUCAUCAAGAACUUUCUUGAUAUUUGUGUAGUCUUUCUUCGACUGACGGUCCGAGUCGAAAUACGUGGCCAUGGAAUAUUUCGGGUUUAAGAGGAUGAGUGUGCAAUGUGUGUCACUGCACAAAACACAGAAUGUUGGAAAAAAAGAAUGAUCGAAAUCUAACAAAUCGUAUGUUACGGGGCAGUGAGGGGUUGACUUACUCGGGAAAGUAAGGCACGAGGAAGUUAUCCUUAUCCGGGUUUGCCAGAAUGACGCCUUCGAGGUAUGAACUCGCGACUUGCCGGUCCCCAGCGCUGCGCAUGAUCAUGGCACACAUGUAGAAGGUGUCGACUAUCACGAUGUCCGGGGUCUUAUCUCUAAUGAUCCGCAUCUCCAUACUCAGCAAAAAUAGCUGAACGAAGGUGUAGUGCAGUGGAUGAAGGUUAAACAUAGCGAAGAUGUCAUCAAACAGCAGGACAAUCAUACCCCCGAUGGCGCUAUCGACAAUGCCCUUGCCCUGUGGCACCUUGGCCAUGAAAACCGGGUAUGCCACAGCAUUUUCGGAGAGGCACCGCUUCUCCAAAGAAAGAACACUGUCAUGCAGACUCCGCAUAGCACUUGUUGCAGCAUUGAGCAGAUUAGUCGGUAGCAUCGGCCUACCCACCACAUGCACCCUCCUUGAGAUAUUCUUAGAUGUAGGUGGCCCGUCCUGAGCACGGAUCAUACUCGGUGCCAGCUGGCUCGUACCCUUGUUAUUCUUUCUUUUUCAUCCCUUCUUCUUCUGUUGUAAUGGGAUCAAGUUCUGCUCAUAGACAUCCUUCUUGAGUGUGUUGGGGCUGAUAAUAUUUGGCACCUCGGCUAUCUGAGGCUCGGUGAAGGUGGCAGCUGGAGGCGUCUCGUCUGAACUGAACGCCAGACGACGCAUGUUGCAACUGGGUUUCUCUGCGGUACCAGCUAGGUCAUCUUUUGCAGGGUUGGGUUCUUGAGAAGGAGACCCCAAGAAUUCGUCACCGUACCCAUGUUCGUUGAAGUAGUUAUCGACGUUGGUAAAUGUACAGUCGUUGUCAUCGUCGGUGUCGUCCGGAUCCUGUGCCAUAUGCAUGUCCGGAUCCUGUGCCAUAUCCAUGUCUGGCAUGUCCAGUAGCGUUGCGGGGGUCUCGCCAUAGCUUGGCGCCGGCACGACUGGCGGUGUUGUCUUUUCGGCCAAAGCAUGGGCUAGUUUAUGCAGGUGCUGAGGGUCAUCACAUCAUCUUCAUCGGCCCAUGGGGUCAAUACGGAGGUAACAUGUCGUCGAAGCCCGGCAGCACCCGAACCAGUUGAACCCUAUAAACGGUGGGUGGCAUCUGAUUACUGUGGAACACGCGGCUGCCCGGUUGAACGAUUCUGCCCUUGGCGACAUCGACCAACUCGUCGUUCAUGAAGUGCAGGAGAGUGCACGGAACGUCGGCGGCGCCCUGUGAAAACAUGUAGGGCGUCAGGGAUGCCCAGUCAAAGGCAAGGAGAUGAAGCCAUCGACCGAGAGUCUUAAUUAGUUACCGUGAUGGCAUCGAGCUCGGCUAAUGUCGAGGCACCGCCAACGGCGGGCGUGCAAGUGACGAAGGGGCCGCUUGCUGCCGAGGUGCCGGCCGGCGUAUUCUUCCCACACCCUGGUGUAUUAAGCUACAAUGUCAGCGCCACCACCGGAGACACCAAUGCCGCCUCCGCCGGAGACACCAAUGGCACCGCCGGCGCGUUGCGCGAGUUGCUGCCCGUGAUGCUGGGAAUCGGGGGCGGCCCCUGUUGGCCGCCCGCAAUCCAUGCUUGCAGCCCAGAAACCAAGGUAGGCAUAAUGGCGGUGAUCGUCGCUCCCCGUUGGUCUCGCACUUGCCCUUCGAUGAUCUCCGGAAUCCGUGCCACUUGUGCCUUGAGUUGUUGAACCUCACGCUCCUGGCUUUCCGAGCUGGUCUUUCCGACCAUUUCUUGGACAAGCCUUUGUCGGCCACACGGCCAGCUGAAGUCGGCUUACUAAGCUUAUCCUUGUUUUUCAUUACGUUCAACGCCCUAUUUAAAGGGUUGUGGAAAAGGGGAGCUCUGAGACGACCCCAUGCUAUUGCUUUCAGUGUCAUGCGGAAGGAACAUGAACCAUUUAGAAAUUUGGCUUCAUUAAUUAGAAUGCAACCAUAUGGAGCUAAUUACGCAGGGGUGUAUUCCUUAUAAGAACACGCUAAAGCGCCUUGGUCUUCGGAUCCGUGGUAAGCUCCUUGGUUACCGGGUCAAUCUUGUACCGGGCCCUGACAUAGUUCCUGGUCUGCUUGUCACGGCAUUUCUCAAAGAAGGGUGGUAGGCCUUGCUCGGCACGCUCCACGUCCUCCUUGUCCCAUAUAGGUUCCGCCACUCUGUAACCGCCGGUACCGAGCUUGUGGACCCCUAAGUUCAAGUCCUGAAUCUCUUUCCCCCACUUGCUUGAUUCCGCAGAUGUGUUUCUCUCGCACUUGAUCUUGGACUCCCGGUAGUCAUCUUCGCUGAUCGAAGGAUUUUUCUCCUUGAUCUUCUCAUAACUAUCACCUUUUUCAAUCAUGCUCUUCACCGAGGCUCUCCAAGUAGCCAGGGCCGUGCUCAUCUUCGUGAGGGCGGCACUGUUCACUUUAUUCCCUGAGAGGCGUGUGUUUGCGAAGUCAACGGGGAACUUGUAUCAUUCGUGCAGCUUCAUGAAGAGGAGGUUGCGCAAAUUCCCUCGGUCACGAUGCCUUAGGUUCUCGGUGUUGAUCGAGACGGUGCUCCGGAGAACGCACCCGAGCUAUCCCUUGUACCCCUUGACUAUUUCUUUGGGCGUCAUUUGAUGCCCCUCGGAGGACACUUCAGUAAAUUCCUCCUUGACGGUAUCGAGCACGUUCGGGCGCCGGUCCUUCCGUUGCCUCUUCGGUUGGCUGCCAUGUGUGCGUGCGCCGCCAUCAUCAGUGGUGGCAUCCUCGGUGGCACAAUCAAUGGUGUCAUCCCCGACGCCACUAGGGGUUGUGUAGUCGGGAUCGGUGUCUUCCUCGGCGUCCUCAUAGCGGUGAGGUUCUUCCUCCAUCUCCUGGGACAGCUCGCAAAAUGCCUUGCCCGAAUCGCCGGCCUCAUCGUUGUGGGCCAUGUUUCGCUCUAAAUAGGGAAAAAAUUGGUCAAAAAGUUGGUUAUUGUCAAGGAACAAGAUCAUGGUCUCAUCAUUUAGGGUUUGUCGACACCGAGGCAUCCUAAAAGCUAAGCUUUUAUCAUUUAGGGUUUGUCGACGCCGAGGCACCGUAAUAGCCUAAGCUUUCAUCAUUUAGGUUUUUAUCGACACCGGGGCACCCUAAAAGCCAAGGUUUUAUCAUUUAGGGUUUGUCGACGCUGAGGCCCAUGCAUAACACAAGAGGUAGUUGAUCCCACUUAAUUAAGUACUAAGAUACCCCGGCCCGUGCAUUAGUCGCAAGUACCCCAUAUGUCCUAUUUUUAGCAAAGUCAUGCUAAAAUUCACGGAAAAUUUUAGCAUGAACUUUGCUGAAAAUAAGACAUAUGGAGUACACGAAUUUGCCGGAACAGAAGUUAAUCGACAUUCCGGCAAACUCAAGGGCCUCUCGGGGUACCUGCAAAAUCAUCACGACAUGAUGGUCGGAGACAAAACCAAGCAAACUAGCACCACAAUGUGCCUCUACUUUCAUAUGGAGGUGUUGCAACAACGAAAAUACUUUAUCACAUUAUAAGUCCUCACAACAUCAACUAUGACAAAAUCUGAGAGUAUAAGUUUGGUUACAUUCACCCAAGUCCAAACAUAAAAUUAUGUCCAACAUAGUAUAGUCCAACACAUCAGCACUUGAGAUUAAGCACUUUUAGGUUUCCUGAUUCCUCAAGAGAGAAUAAGUAGAGAGUAUCCUAAACUGAGUAAACAUGAGUAUCCAUAAUAGUUAUUUGCUUAAUCUCAAGUUUGACAUAUACGAUAGUGAUAGAUGUAAGAAGCAGAACAAUGCCAAAGCCACAACCUCAAAUCUGGAACAAAAACACAAAUUACACCUAUAGAUUUAGGUACCUCUAUGGUAGUAACAUGCCAGCUUGGCCAUGCUCUGUCUAGAGCUACCGUAGCACUAUGCACCCCUUAACGGUAUACUAUAGUAGGUUACUAUUUGACAUCAGUGUGAAAAGAGUAGAAGAGCUUAUGGCAAAAAGAACAUUCAGGUGCAUGAUGAUCAGGUAUCUCAACUACAGUGUUGUUCUGAUCAGGAACAGUGUUCAAUAUAAACAUGUGAAUCAACAAUAUUAAGGUGUGAUUAUAAUAUCUGGAUGAUAAUUAACAUAGGAAUCAUGAGUAGCAAACAAGUGAUAACACCAAGAUGAUGAUUAGAACAUACUCCUAGUACUAAUCAAACCUAGACCCAGCCACUUCCUAUCACAAAGCGUUCGACGAGAAGACCAAUAUAGAUUUCUGGAAAUAGACUAUGAAGGUUGGCACAGACAAGACCUACAGUAGCAAUGACAAUAGACUACCUGACAUUGGAAUCAAUGUAGUAAAAUGGACACAAUAAAUUUCAAUCAUGAAAGCAUUAAGCACUGCUCUGCAAAUGCAGUCUCAAUAGUCUUAGAUACAUAAAUAAACCAGUGUAGCAAUCAUCAUCUGCCAAAAUUUGACAUACAUAAGACUUUCUAAGUACUAGAAGAUACAUAAGAUAAUACUCUCAGUAGCAGAUGAACAACAACGAAAAUAAGACACUCAACGCGAAGGCGUGGAGCAACCUCACCCAUGCCCGUCUGUAGCCGAACUCCUUGAAUAGGAAGGUGAACAGUACGAUAAAAAGCGACAUGAAUGGUGUUUCCCCCACAAGCCA